Molecule: ribosomal RNA, 253 nt
Filed under: uncultured bacterium
Lineage: Bacteria
Description: partial 16S ribosomal RNA
Rfam family: Bacterial small subunit ribosomal RNA
Source: RNAcentral
UACGAAGGGGGCUAGCGUUGUUCGGAAUUACUGGGCGUAAAGGGCUCGUAGGCGGCCAACUAAGUCCGACGUGAAAUCCCAAAGCUUAACUUUGGAACUGCGUCGGAUACUGGAUGGCUUGAAUUCGGGAGAGGGAUGCAGAAUUCCAGGUGUAGCGGUGAAAUGCGUAGAUAUCUGGAGGAAUACCGGUGGCGAAGGCGGCAUCCUGGACCGACAUUGACGCUGAGGAGCGAAAGCUAGGGGAGCAAACGGG